Molecule: long non-coding RNA, 664 nt
Filed under: Mus spicilegus (steppe mouse)
Lineage: Eukaryota; Metazoa; Chordata; Mammalia; Rodentia; Muridae
Description: lncRNA (ENSMSIG00000029679.1)
Source: RNAcentral
UGCUGUCUGUGGGAUCCUGUAGUUCUCUUCAUUCUCCUGUUCCAAAGAGUCAUCAUUCUCAUUAGGAUGUAUGUGCAUGGACGAAGGAGACUGGUGGAGUGGCCCAUGAGAGCCUGAGCCAGCAUAAAGCCACCUUGGAUCAACCUUAGUCACUUCAAAUCUGGUCUCGUGGAGCCACCUGAAAGUGACAGCCAUAAAGAACAACGGGAAAAUCUGAAAAGGGAAAAAGAUGUGAUCAAGCCUGCAACUUCCCAGGCACUUUACCUGUCUCCUUGCAGGAGUCCGGGGUGCCUUGUACAGCCCUGGGAGGGAGCCAUUACAGAACUGCAGAAAAGAGAGAGUCAGCAAGGGAGUUGUUGGGUGGGUGCGACUCUGCCUGCAGGGGAGCUCUUCUGCCUCCAGAGCCCCAGCCCGCUGCUGAGAGGAGCUGCCUGGACAGAGCAUCUCUGAGGCCCGAGGUGCUGGGACUGCACACAGUGAGUUCUUUCCUAAGCUCUCGAGAGGACCAGAUUUUAGACUGUAACCUCUGAUUUAAAGCACGAAGGUGUUCCUGCUGCUUAGGUUGCUGGGUCUUGAUUUGUUUUUGGUAAACAGAGGGCACUGGCUUAUGUCCAUCCUCAAAGCUGCUUUGUCCUAGGGUGCCCGUUGCCAUAGUUAACGUGAG